CAGGCGUAAUUUAUUCAAGGUGAAGCAUAAUUGCUACUAUCAAAAAGGUAUCCUAAAAAUAAAGGGCUGAAAAUG
This is a long non-coding RNA of Nothoprocta perdicaria, 75 nucleotides long. RefSeq lists it as uncharacterized. The transcript is spliced from 3 exons. The record is from RefSeq and is a predicted model, not a curated record. NCBI's taxonomy places the organism in Eukaryota, Metazoa, Chordata, Aves, Tinamiformes, Tinamidae.